Molecule: ribosomal RNA, 465 nt
Filed under: uncultured bacterium
Lineage: Bacteria
Description: partial 16S ribosomal RNA
Rfam family: Bacterial small subunit ribosomal RNA
Source: RNAcentral
CCUACGGGAGGCAGCAGUGGGGAAUAUUGCGCAAUGGGCGAAAGCCUGACGCAGCGACGCCGCGUGAGGGAUGAAGGUCUUCGGAUCGUAAACCUCUGUCAGCAGGGAAGAACGGUCACUGUGCUAAUCAGCAGUGAAUUGACGGUACCUGCAAAGGAAGCACCGGCUAACUCCGUGCCAGCAGCCGCGGUAAUACGGAGGGUGCGAGCGUUAAUCGGAAUUACUGGGCGUAAAGCGCUCGUAGGCGGUAUGUCAAGUCAAGGGUGAAAUCCCCGCGCUCAACGGGGGAACUGCCUUUGAAACUGGCAAACUGGAGUGUGGGAGAGGAGAGUGGAAUUCCAGGUGUAGGAGUGAAAUCCGUAGAGAUCUGGAGGAACAUCAGAGGCGAAGGCGACUAUCUGGAACAUAACUGACGCUGAGGAGCGAAAGCGUGGGUAGCAAACAGGAUUAGAUACCCCAGUAGUC